This is a long non-coding RNA of Cyprinus carpio (common carp), 1803 nucleotides long. RefSeq lists it as uncharacterized. The transcript is spliced from 3 exons. The record is from RefSeq and is a predicted model, not a curated record. Lineage: Eukaryota; Metazoa; Chordata; Actinopteri; Cypriniformes; Cyprinidae.
AUAUUCGAGGGGGGUCAAUGAUGUUCAGGGGGUCUGGAAACCAUAGUGGCGCAACUGGGUGUGACCAACAAUUUGUUUGACCCCAGAAGACAUUUCCCAAGAUCCCGUCUGAUUACACACUCUCCUGUUUCCAAUAACCCAGACACUAUAAUGGUUGCACUCACUUUCAUACAGGUGCUCAGUAUUGAUUAGCCUAGCUGUCAUACCAACUGCUUGUAUUCUGUUUCCGAGGGCCCGUUCUUCGUACGUCGCUUAUUACAUCCGAGAUCAAAUGACACAUCCAAGAUGAUAUCAUCGUGCUAAUCAUGAUCCGGCUAAUUGGGUUCUUCGAACACACCUGUUGUGUAUGAUUAGUAUCGCUGGAUUGAGUUAUCUGAGAUAAUUGCGCGUUCAUGUGUUGGCUUAAAAGGGGAUAUGUAUCGAUAGUAGAAACUUUGAUCAACAACGCUGCUAAUGGCUGUUCAGCAUGGCCAAAGAACGUGCCAAAUUUUUCUCCCAAGCAGAACAAGAGCUUUUAAUGGAAGGUUAUGCCGAAUUUGAGUCGUUAAUUAAAACGACAGGGAACACCUCAAAGUCUGCAAAAGCCAGGAGAGUGGGCUGGCAAAAAGUAGCAGACAAAUUAAAUGCUAAGUGCUGUCCAUAGUAGAUGUUUCUAUCAUUUUCUACAGUAUGUGUUUUUGCAUUUUAAUAAUUUAAUAUUUACUUUCUUUAAUGUCAGAUCCACCACUGGACCCACUAGAACAUGGGAACAAGUAAAAGUGAAAUACAAGAAUAUUCUACAAAAUGGUAGCCUUUAAUUCAUACUGUCUUUAUUUUAAAAAGCCACUUUUUUCCUUCUUUUUAAAAGCCACUGUUAAAUGAUGUGUUUGUCUAUUUAUAACAGCCACCAAGAAAAAGGCUGAAAAAAAAAAAAACAGGUGGUGGUCCUGCACCACCACAAUAUACCCCAGCAGAGGAGCUGGCCCUUGGAUUGAAUGAAAACCGAACCAUUGUGGAGGGCAUCCCUGGGGGCUGCUCUUCCUCAGACCCAAAGACAGGGACCAGUAGCAGCAACACCUUCAUUACUGUUUUACAUAAUACACCAACACUUUUACCUGUUCCCAUGCAAGUGGUGGCUGAAGCAUAUGCAGACAGUGAAGAAACCCUCUCAGAAGACUGUCCUUUGGAGGAAGAACCUGUAAGUGCAUAAAUACCUUUACACUAAUUUGUAUAUAGCCUACUUGUGUACCUAUUCUUUCUGUCUGCAAUUUGAGUUGCAGGAGUCCACACCUAGAGAAAGGCUUGCAGAAGAGUCUGCACAAACAACUAAUACAGAGGUGGACAGUGUUGUACUUUUACUUUUGUUGCAUGAGGCAUGUUUUGACCCUUUUUUUUUUUUUUUUUUUACAAAAUGACAGGCUGACAUCCGUUUCCUCUAUAAACGGCAUCUUCAACAAAAAAUUAAGUAUUUUGAGCUGAAUAAACGCAAAUUAAGAGGAGAAAUUGAACUUGACAACUUGAAAAAGAGAAAAAUUGCUCUAGAGAUUAGAGUUGCUUCAAAAGGACCUUCAGAGUAAGUGCUAAUACACCAUUUGACACAUAGUUAUGUAAAGUCACCAAUACUACUAUCUCUAAUUGCAGGCAAAAGAUGACUUGCUGGCUUUUCUUUAUAAAGAAUUGUUUAAAUAAAACUCCGGGAACUAAGCAUAUUUGUCGUCUUUUAUUACACAUUCAAAAAUGGUGUUCCACAAUUCUGUCCCGUGCAGCUCUGCCACUAGGUUGGUCCAAGUGCACUGGCUGGAGGUCAUCAUCAGGCUGCACCCC